CCCAUACAAUCACCGAAGUUUAGCAACAUCAAGCCUGAUCAGUACUUAGAUGGGUGAUCACUUGGGAAUACCAGGUGCUGUAA
Molecule: non-coding RNA, 83 nt
Organism: Acanthosepion pharaonis
Lineage: Eukaryota; Metazoa; Mollusca; Cephalopoda; Sepiida; Sepiidae
Source: the annotation of a GenBank genome assembly